Molecule: non-coding RNA, 345 nt
Organism: Xyrichtys novacula (pearly razorfish)
Lineage: Eukaryota; Metazoa; Chordata; Actinopteri; Labriformes; Labridae
Source: the annotation of a GenBank genome assembly
AUUUGUUUGCCAUGCUGUAUUUUCUCCAGAAAAUCUAACCAUAUUAUUCACGCUCCCUGCAGGGAUGCUUAUGACUGGAUGUACACCACACCUGCAGUGCUGCCUUAUGGAUUUCACGUCUCUGUUAUCAUCAACAUUGGCUUGAAUAUCACAUGGUUGUUUCUGUUUGAUAGAGAGUAAGUAUGUUGUCUUGGGUUACAGCAACCCAGAAAGCUACACUCGUUGAAAGUUGAAUUUUUUAAGCUUACACGCCUUAUUGUUUGUGUUUAGGUUGUUGCUGCCGGCACUGAUAGUCUCAGCCUUAAUUAUGAUCACGAGUUACAUGAUUCUUUUUUUCGCCUGUCA